RNAcentral lists this ribosomal RNA (433 nucleotides) under uncultured bacterium. Its description in RNAcentral is "partial 16S ribosomal RNA". It matches the Rfam family "Bacterial small subunit ribosomal RNA", at positions 29 to 507 of the family's 1533-position model. The record is from RNAcentral.
AACGAACGCUGGCGGCAGGCCUAACACAUGCAAGUCGAGCGCGCCCUUCGGGGUGAGCGGCGGACGGGUGAGUAACGCGUGGGAACGUGCCCUUCUCUGCGGAAUAGCCUCGGGAAACUGAGAGUAAUACCGCAUACGCCCUUUGGGGGAAAGAUUUAUCGGAGAAGGAUCGGCCCGCGUUGGAUUAGGUAGUUGGUGGGGUAAUGGCCCACCAAGCCGACGAUCCAUAGCUGGGUUGAGAGGAUGAUCAGCCACACUGGGACUGAGACACGGCCCAGACUCCUACGGGAGGCAGCAGUGGGGAAUCUUAGACAAUGGUGGCAACCCUGAUCUAGCCAUGCCGCGUGAGUGAUGAAGGCCUUAGGGUUGUAAAGCUCUUUCAGAUGGGAAGAUAAUGACGGUACCAGCAGAAGAAGCCCCGGCUAACUACGUG